Triticum urartu is the source of this 3421-nucleotide long non-coding RNA. RefSeq lists it as uncharacterized. Lineage: Eukaryota; Viridiplantae; Streptophyta; Magnoliopsida; Poales; Poaceae. The record is from RefSeq and is a predicted model, not a curated record.
CUGACGUACCCAACGUUCAAGUCUUCUCUGGCACUCGUCGCCUCUAAAAAAAAUCUUCUCUCGCACUCACACCUUGUCGUUUCUAAUCCUCAAAAAUAAAAUAAAAAAUGGUUACUGUUUCUUGAUCCCCUUUUCAUUUCCUUCUUUCCUCUCGCUCCUCCUUCAACCAGAUGAGCUCUGGCUGUUAGCGCUGCUCAACUCACUGGUGCGGCCAUGGGGUGGCCGUCUACGGCACCUGGUUUGGCUCCUAUACGCCUCGUCAAUCUCUCAGACCGGUCAACGGCGACGGAGUGGUAGUAGGGCCCAAGGAGAAGUGGCUCUAGGGAGGAAGCGAGCUCGUCGAUCUCGACGGCCCCGUUGCCGUCGCCGUCCAUCCAGGUGAUGUUGGUGUGGAUCUUGUCUCCCGCAACCAGCUUAGAUCCACCUUGAUUUUGAGAUGCCGACGGCGUUGUUUUCGAUCGCAUCGUGGCUGCCCCCGAGCGAGGCAGCCCGACAGUCACCUUCAUCUUACACUUGCAGGUCCUCUUCUCUCUUUUCCUGUCCCUCUCAUGUUUUUGUUUCUUAUCCUUCUUCUGCAUGUGUAUGGGUAAACUAAUAUAAUGCAAUUAAGGUAUUGCUUGUUAGGAUGUAUAUCUACUUAUGCCCCCUUGCCCCGUUCAUAUUCAACAAAUUUAGUAAGUAAUCAGUGUAUUCAUGAUUAGACCAAAGAAAAAGUUUAUAGGAAAAUAGGUGCGAUUGCAUCCUACAUAUGAACUAAAACGAUGUGUGGAUGUUGUAACUAUUGGCUUGUACUAUAGAAUAAGCUUAAAAUAUCAGAUAACACAAAGUGUCGACAUUUGGUAUUAUCCAUCUAUUUCCAUCAAAUGUUGAUGCAUGUUUCCAAUACUUCUAGGAGUAGUAGAUCAUAUCCAUUCUGCCAUAUAAUGCUAGCAUAGAAAAGUCAGUUUUUAUGUUGAAGAUAGUUUUGUAGUGUACUAUUUUCCCAUCUACUUAUUUUAUCUAAUAGGCUAGUGGCAUAUGGAAGUUUGUUUUUGUUCCUACCUUUAGAUUAUUUCUGUGUAGACUAUGUUCUUGACCACAUCAUCCUUGUUGUUAGUUCAUUUGCUAUAGAAAUGAAAAUAACAGGUAUGAUCAAGUGAGUAGGCUAUUACUGGCAAGUGUUUUCCCAAAGUAUCUCCUUUUUCUUAUGUCCCUCAUGAACUCAUUGAGCUUUAUGUGGAACAUUCGAUCAACAAUAUCAGGCUUCUAUGAUGUUGUUUGGCCUACUUCCAUAAGCAUGGAUUGAAUAUCCAGCCAAGCUGUGUUGCAUGUGAAUGCCAUAAAUAGGUCUGUGUAUCAAGCCCAUCGACAUCUUGCUAUAGCAUCUUGGUAGUUUUGUGCUUGUAUCUGAGGUUAUCUAUGAAGCUAGAUGGAAGUAGUAUUCUCCUUCCUACCUUGUCAGCCCUUGUAUCUCCUCUUUAUGUUGCGUCCUGCAAGUCAGCAUAUAAUUCUGCUCUUAUGUUUGCUUGAUGUUUUUUGAUCCAGUCUAGUCUGUACUACAAAAUGCAUGCAAGGGCAUCCAUUUUGAACUUCCGAAGUUGCUCUUUCGUUGAGGUUCUUCUCGCCUUAUAUGCAUGUCACAAGGCCCUUCUCAAGUUGCUCUUUCUUCAUACAAAAAUAUUGCACCACACCAUUCACACUUGUGGCUUGGACUUCCGAAGUCCCAAAUGUCCAUAUCUGUCCUUUUCAAUGUCCUGUUUAAGUUUCUGAAUUUAGCAUCAAUUGAAUAUUAGUAUGUUCUUUUUUCUUAAUAAUACAACAAACUUAAUAGAACUGACAUAUCUAGUUUUUCCGCCCUUGAUUUUUCUAUUUUACACUUUGUGUUACUUUUAGUCAUGUACACACGCUUAACCGAAUUACCAUGUUCAUGAAUGUCCAAAUUGUAGAUCUUGAUUGAAUUUUCUUGCUACUUACCAUGUAGUUUUACGAGCCAAUGCUUUCCUAUGGCAAUUCGACAAUGCUGAUUUUGCCUCAGUCAAUGCACAUGAUCGACAUCUGUACAUGAUAUGGUUCCCUGUGGUAAUUCAACAAUGUUGAUUUUGCCCUCGUCUUGAUUAAGCCAUGUUGCAUGGAAAUGUGUUUUCAUGUUUUUUAAAAGCUGAUAGGUACAAUCAGGAACAAAUGCAACAUGUUUUUGUCAUUUAAUAUAGCACUUGGAAGGAAUGGAACACAUAGAUAUCACAAUUGAUGCGCAAAGAAGAAGCAAGCUAUAAUGUUGCUUCGAGUAUACUAUACUACAGUCAUGCAACAUGUAAGGGAAGUUUAGCAAUUGAAUUAAGAACAGUAAGUUAAGAUAGUGGAUGAUAAUACACAUGAGAAUACCUUUGUGAUGAUUUUCUUAUCGCACGUGGUACGCAUAUUUGUGCAGUCUGGCACAUCUCCAUGUAUGAUCGAACGCUAUCUCUUUUUGUUGUCUUGAAGUUUCAUUGUCCUUUCCUAAUCCUAUCUUGGUAUUAUUGAUUGUCUGGAUUCACAUCAGUAUUAUAAUAAUUUUUUUCUGGCUUAAAUCAGUUAUAAACCCAAAUGUGCCAAACUGGAAUUAUUGCAUUAUAUAAUUUAGGUGUAACAUUUUUGUGAUAUCACUUAUUAAAAGUGCAUGAUUAGCAAUGGAUCACCUUGUUGGAUUGUAUAUUUGAUUGCUUUUAACUACCUUGGUAGGUUUCUCACAUUAUUGCAAUGUGGUCCACCUUUUAUUUUCAUCGUUUCUUCCUGCACAAUUUAGAAAACAUGUAUUAGAGAAGAUGAUAUUGUAAAAUUGGUAUGGAGUACCGCUGAAGGUUAUGGAGAUUUAUGAUUUUGAUUAAUUAUUCGCCUUACAAUUUUUUGUUUUGUUGUAGAAGAAAAGGAGAUCAACUUCCAAGAUCAGUGAUUGUGGUGAAAGCUUUAAUGUUAAAAUGGAUGUUAAGUUUCAAUCAUCAUGUGAAGACAGUGAGGGUCUUUUACCCUUCUGUUGCAGUUAGAUGACAGUCUAUAGAAAACCUUAUAUGGGUGAAGAAUUAGAUUGUGAUUGAGGAUAGCAAGUUCAUGUACAAUUACGAUUGAAGAAUCGCAAGGGAACUUGCCUGAUCUAAAUUUGAAAGCUAUUUGAUUAUUUACCUUGAGUUGAAACAUGGUGUGUACCUUUGAUCAUGUUCCUCUGUGAUUUCCAUGGUGAUUGGGAAUCAAGUGGUGUAGACAAGAUGAGGAGGACUUGGAAUGAGAGGAGCCAUGGCAAGCUAGCAUUGAAGGAUGAAGGGACUCGCGCAGGUGAUCUUCCAACAUAGAUGUGUUUGUAGAUGUGUUUUCUAUUCGAUUGAAAGGAGGGAGGUCAUCCUCAUGUAGAUAAAAGAGAUAUGCUAUGUAUUCUAUUUUUUCUUUUCUAUUGAGAGGUACUUCCGGUUUC